Molecule: non-coding RNA, 930 nt
Organism: Odocoileus virginianus texanus
Lineage: Eukaryota; Metazoa; Chordata; Mammalia; Artiodactyla; Cervidae
Source: RefSeq, a predicted model, not a curated record
UUCUCAUGAGCCCCGCUGUUUUACUCAAAGAACGGCACACCGACCCACAGCCUGAGCUGACCAGUGGGGGUCCACUCCCAGGAGGCACCUCUGCUGCUCGUUAUGGCCGCUGCAGCUUGGGGAUGGAGGUGGACUCCCCACCCCGAGUGGUGGGUAAGCUUUGGUGUUACUCCCCAGCACUGGGGACAUACCAUGAAUGAAGCUGAAAAUGUUUUGAAUGCACCCGGGGCUGGCAUCCCAGAGGGAAGACAGAAAGUGGACAAGUGGACAUGUCCUGGAGGCCAAGGGCGGGAGCCAGGAGAAGGCCCACCAGGAGCCAGGGGCCCUGGAGCAACAUCAAAAGAGGGAUGUCGCUGUGAAGAGAAACAGGACCAACCUUUGCUCAGUCAAGCCUCUCAUCAGGGGUCACGUCUGUGGAAAAACAGGAAGGUCUUGGGAAAUCCCCUGGGAAGAGUACCAUGAUGUUGACCUGCUUGGGGUCUCGAGUCCUUGUGUUGAAGUCAGAGGGUUUCUGGAUCGAACAGACCAGGCCAGCUUCCUAGGGCAAAGCUGACGGAGUUUGCUGAUGGAGCAGCUAUGCGUCCAAACAGGCGCUCAGAUCCUAGAGUCUUGCCAAGUCCUCCUAGCCCUGCUCCACAUCCUUCUCCAAGCCCCACCUUUUCUGAGUUGGUUUAUAUUUAAAAACAAAAUACAACUAAGAAAAACAGAUACUGCUGCUCCCCCGCCCCUGGCCCCGGAAAACCACGGCUCCCAGGGGAUAGAGUGGACCUGGGCCCUGACCCCUGUCUGACGGAGUCUGGGUUUGAAAUCCUGUUUAUGGCCACGGGGCCUUUUCAUGUUGAGGAAGCAGUUUGUUGUCCAAAAUAGCUGCUGCAGGAAUUGGCUGUAUUUUUAGGAGCAGGAAGGGCUUGGGGCUGAACUUGUGCAUUU